UACCUUGUUUUGAUGUACCAUGAAUUGU
RNAcentral lists this small RNA (28 nucleotides) under Bombyx mori (domestic silkworm). Its description in RNAcentral is "ovarian small RNA-20937". The record is from RNAcentral. Lineage: Eukaryota; Metazoa; Arthropoda; Insecta; Lepidoptera; Bombycidae.